GAUGAACGCUGGCGGCGUGCCUAAUACAUGCAAGUCGAACGAAACUUCUUUAUCACCGAGUGCUUGCACUCACCGAUAAAGAGUUGAGUGGCGAACGGGUGAGUAACACGUGGGCAACCUGCCCAAAAGAGGGGGAUAACACUUGGAAACAGGUGCUAAUCCCGCAUAACCAUAGUUACCGCAUGGUAACUAUGUAAAAUGUGGCUAUACUACUGCUUUUGGAUGGGCCCGCGGCGCAUUAGCUAGUUGGUAGGGUAAAGGCUUACCAAGGCAAUGAUGCGUAGCCGAAUUGAGAGGUUGAUCGGCCACAUUGGGACUGAGACACGGCCCAAACUCCUACGGGAGGCAGCAGUAGGGAAUCUUCCACAAUGGGCGAAAGCCUGAUGGAGCAACGCCGCGUGGGUGAAGAAGGUCUUCGGAUCGUAAAACCCUGUUGUUAGAGAAGAAAGUGCGUGAGAGUAACUGUUCACGUUUCGACGGUAUCUAACCAGAAAGCCACGGCUAACUACGUG
Molecule: ribosomal RNA, 512 nt
Filed under: uncultured bacterium
Lineage: Bacteria
Description: partial 16S ribosomal RNA
Rfam family: Bacterial small subunit ribosomal RNA
Source: RNAcentral